GAGCAAUAGAGGGAUUUGAAAAAUACUAUUUAUUACCCUGUCCACACUGGACUAUAAUAGAGGAUUUUGUACUACCUUAACUUCCAAACGUAAUGGCGACCAGCAAUGCGGCUGUUUGGGGUCCAAAAGAAUAUCCUUUCCGGACAAAAUCUACAAAGAAUAUACGUGAAAACUUACAUGUUUGUCUUUGUUUCCUUCCCAAAAACAGACACAAGGGAUCCAUCCAUCACCCAAUUAUGUCAUGUUCCUUCCCCAUCCAAUAACCCAAGUGGCCAAAUGUCCGCUUCUGCUCUCCCUCGCUCACAGAUUCAUUGGCCUCACCCGGCAGUUUUGGCACCAAAGCCCACACCUUGUCCCUAGCUUGUGUACACUCGUGAUCUCUCCCGAUCUAAAUAUACCGGCC
Molecule: long non-coding RNA, 403 nt
Filed under: Elaeis guineensis (African oil palm)
Lineage: Eukaryota; Viridiplantae; Streptophyta; Magnoliopsida; Arecales; Arecaceae
Description: long non-coding RNA (EGUI_LNC003413)
Source: RNAcentral